Molecule: long non-coding RNA, 2273 nt
Filed under: Salmo salar (Atlantic salmon)
Lineage: Eukaryota; Metazoa; Chordata; Actinopteri; Salmoniformes; Salmonidae
Description: lncRNA (ENSSSAG00000105052.1)
Source: RNAcentral
GUAAUCCUAUUUAUUUUUCUUCAAAUUCCCCUUAUAGAUGCUCAGUGGUACGUUGUACAUUUUAGGACAUCCCUACUCCGUAGGAGGUCCUAAAAUGUACACCGUGCAGCAUACCUUAAAGUGUUACCAAGCAAUGAUCUGAUGCAUAGAACAUACAUGUUUCUCCCCAGCCCUGGGCACGAGGAGGUAAAGGAACUCUGUAUCAAAGCUGAGAGAUACUGAGUGUAGCUGCUAUGUGUGCAGUGUGACAGCCUGGUUUCAAGAUGUCGUGCAGACACUCCCAGCGCUACACAUGUUUUACUGGUGGCAUUCACUAUGUUCCCCUGCUAUUUGACAGGAAAACCCCAGCUUGUCAUAUAUCAGUUUCUGUUGUAAAAAAAAUAUUUAAAACUUUUUUAAGUCAUCAUUUUCUAUUCUUCAUGACUGUCUUUGCCAGGGAUUACUGUAGAUUGAUAGGAAUCAUGUCACCAGGUGUAAACUGGGUGUUGAACAGGUGUCAGUGUGAACAGGUGUCAGUGUGAACAGGUGUCAUUGUGAACAGGUGUCAGUGUGAACAGGUGUCAGUGUGAACAGGUGUCAGUGUGAAAAGGUGUCAGUGUGAACAGGUGCUGAACAUCCUCACAUCAAAGAUAGGAACUGAAUGACACUGAUCAUUACAGUAAAGUAAACUGGGAGCAAGAACAUACAAGGUAUAUGUGGUGUGUGUGUGUGUGUGUGUGUGUGUGUGUGUGUGUGUGUGUGUGUGUGUGUGUGUGUGUGUGUGUGUGUGUGUGUGUGUGUGUGUGUGUGUGUGUGUGUGUUUGCUCCAUACUCCUCCAUACUCUUCCAUACUGCUCCAUACUCCUCCAUACUCCUCCAUACUGCUCCAUACUCCUCCAUACUCAUCCAUACUGCUCUCCCUCCAGCUGGUUGAAAUAGGAUUUUUACUCAUUCACCCUUUACUCUGGAUGUAGCCUAGCUGUGGCAGCUCCAUCCAAUAACAGGGUUCAGUAAUGAAAACACACUGGUCACAGUCCACAACCGCACCAAAAGUGGAAACAAAUUGUCACGCCCUGACCUGAGAGAGACGGUUUAUUUCUCUAUGUGGUUAGGUCAGGGUGUGGGGUGGGCAUUCUAUGUUUUGUAUUUCUUUGUGUUGGGCCGAGUAGGGUUCCUAAUCAGAGGCAGCUGUCUAUCAUUGUCUCUGAUUAGGAAUCAUACUUAGGCAGCCUUUUCCCACCUGUGUGUGUUGGGUAGUUGUUUUCUGUUUUGUGUUUUACCUGACAGAACUGUGCACUUUCGUUUCCAUUGUUUAUAAUUUUGUUUAAGUGUUCUGAGUAAAACUAAAUAUCAAGAUGAACACUUACCACGCUGCACCUUGGUCCCCUCAUUGCGACGGUUGUUACAGAACUACCCACCACAACUGGAUCAAGCAGGAGAUGGAUUCCUGGUCUCUGGAAGAGUGGGAGGAGAGAAUAGACUGGACUUGGGGGCAAGUAUUGGACAGAUAUAGAAACCUGCCAGGGAGGCAAGGAAGGAAGCACGAGAGGCAGCCCCCAAAAUAUUUUUUGGGGGGGCACACGGGUAGAUUGGCGGAGUCAGGGUUGAGACCUGAGCCAACACACCGUGCUUAUCGUGGUGAGCAUGUGCCUGCUUCUCGCACUCUCCCUCCAGUGCGCCUCCACAGCCCUGUACGUCCUGUGCCUGCUCCUCGCACUCUCCCUCCAGUGAUUCUAUUCAGCCUGGUACGCCCUGUGCCUGCUCCACGUACCAGGCUGUCAGUACGUCUCCUCAGUCCGGUGAGACCCGUUCCAGCUCCACGAGAGAAGCCUCCAGUGAUGAUCCAUGGUCCGAAGCCUCCAGUGAUGAUCCAUGGCAUGAAGCCUCCAGUGAUGAUCCAUGGCCCAGAGCCUGUAGGGAUAAUCCAUGACAAGAAGUCUGUAGAGAUGAUCCAUGCCCGGAGCCUGUAGGGAUAAUCCAUGGCAAGAAGCCUGUAGAGAUGAACCAUGGCCCGGAGCCUGUAGGGAUGAUCCAUGGCAUGAAGCCUCCAGUGAUAAUCCAUGGCCCGGAGCCUCCAGUGAUGAUCCAUGGCACAAAGCCUCCAGUGAUGAUCCAUGGUGCAGAACCUGUAGUGUUGAUCCAUGGCACGGAGCCUGCAGCGACGGUCCCCAGUCCGGAACCUACAGCGACGCUCCCCAGUCCGGAACCUUCAGCGACGCUCCCCAGUCUGGAGGCUCCAGCGACGCUCCCCAGUCCGGAGCCUCCAGCGACGCUCCCCAGUCUGGAGGCUCCAG